This 442-nucleotide ribosomal RNA is filed under the name uncultured bacterium. RNAcentral describes it as "partial 16S ribosomal RNA". It matches the Rfam family "Bacterial small subunit ribosomal RNA", at positions 338 to 795 of the family's 1533-position model. The record is from RNAcentral.
CCUACGGGAGGCAGCAGUGGGGAAUCUUGGGCAAUGGGCGCAAGCCUGACCCAGCAAUGCCGCGUGAAGGAAGAAGGCUUUCGGGUUGUAAACUUCUUUGACAGGGGAAGAGCAGAAGACGGUACCCUGAAAACAAGCCACGGCUAACUACGUGCCAGCAGCCGCGGUAAUACGUAGGUGGCAAGCGUUGUCCGGAUUUACUGGGUGUAAAGGGCGUGUAGCCGGGAAGGCAAGUCAGAUGUGAAAUCUGGAGGCUCAACCUCAAAAUUGCAUUUGAAACUGUUUUUCUUGAGUACUGGAGAGGCAGACGGAACUCCUUGUGUAGCGGUGAAAUGCGUAGAUAUAAGGAGGAACACCAGUGGCGAAGGCGGUCUGCUGGACAGCAACUGACGGUGAGGCGCGAAAGUGUGGGGAGCAAACAGGAUUAGAUACCCCGGUAGUC